CACAGGAAGGGGUCAUGUGAGCACACCACGGCGAGAUGGUGGCAGCAUACAAGCACAGAGGAGGGGCCUCAGAAUGAAACCUACCUGCUGGCACCUUGAACUUGGACUCCUCAGCCCCCAGAACCGGUCUUAGUUGUGCCACGUGGGAUCUUCAUUGCGGCAUGCAGGGUCUUUCACGGUGGUACUCUUCGUUAUGGCGUGCGGACUUCUCUCGAGUUGUGGCGCACUGGCUUUCGAGCGCACGGGCUCAGUAGUUGUGGUGUGGGCUUAGUUGUCCCGCGGUAUGUGGGAUCUUAGUUCCCCAACCAGGGAUCGAACCUGCGUCCCCUGCAUUGGAAGGCGGAUUCUUAACCACUGGACCACCAGGGAAGUCCCUGUUUUGUUUUGUUUUAAUUUUUUCCUUUUUCUUUUCUUUUUUUUUUUUUUUAUGAUCCCCAGCAUGUGGGAUCAUAGUUCCCUGACCAGAGGUUGAACCUGCAACCCCUGCAUUGGGAGCAAAGAGUCUUAAUAAACUGGACUGCCAAGGAA
Long non-coding RNA from Lagenorhynchus albirostris (white-beaked dolphin), 528 nucleotides. RefSeq lists it as uncharacterized. The transcript is spliced from 2 exons. The record is from RefSeq and is a predicted model, not a curated record. Lineage: Eukaryota; Metazoa; Chordata; Mammalia; Artiodactyla; Delphinidae.